UGGGGAAUAUUGCACAAUGGAGGGAACUCUGAUGCAGCGACGCCGCGUGAGUGAUGAAGGAAUUCGUUUCGUAAAACUCUGUUCUAUGGGAAGAAAAGGACUGUACCAUAGGAGAAAGCUCCGGCUAAAUACGUGCCAGCAGCCGCGGUAAUACGUAUGGAGCGAGCGUUGUCCGGAAUUAUUGGGCGUAAAGGGUGCGCAGGCGGCUUUACAAGUUGGAUGUGAAAUAUUGUGGCUCAACCACAAACGUGCAUCCAAAACUGCAAAGCUUGAGUUAAAGGGAGGGAAGGUGAAUUCCUGGUGUAGCGGUGGAAUGCGUAGAUAUCAGGAGGAAUACCGGUGGCGAAGGCGACUUACUGGACUUAAACUGACGCUCAGGCACGAAAGCGUGGGGAGCAAACAGG
Molecule: ribosomal RNA, 404 nt
Filed under: Fusobacteriota bacterium
Lineage: Bacteria; Fusobacteriati; Fusobacteriota
Description: Fusobacteria bacterium partial 16S ribosomal RNA
Rfam family: Bacterial small subunit ribosomal RNA
Source: RNAcentral